GAGUUUGAUCCUGGCUCAGAUUGAACGCUGGCGGCGUGCUUAACACAUGCAAGUCGAGCGGUAACAGGCGUAGCAAUACGUGCUGACGAGCGGCGAACGGGUGAGUAAUGCUUCGGAAUCUUCCUCGUAGUGGGGAAUAACCUGGGGAAACUCAGGCUAAUACCGCAUACGAACUACGGUUGAAAGCAGGGGAUCGCAAGACCUUGCGCUAUGAGAUGAGCCGAAGUCGGAUUAGCUAGUUGGUGAGGUAACGGCUCACCAAGGCGACGAUCCGUAGCUGGUCUGAGAGGACGACCAGCCACACUGGGACUGAGACACGGCCCAGACUCCUACGGGAGGCAGCAGUGGGGAAUUGUUCGCAAUGGGCGCAAGCCUGACGACGCAACGCCGCGUGGAGGAUGAAGAUCUUCGGGGUCGUAAACUCCUUUCGAUCGAGACGAAUUCCCCUGGGGUGAAUAAU
Molecule: ribosomal RNA, 460 nt
Filed under: uncultured Gammaproteobacteria bacterium
Lineage: Bacteria; Pseudomonadati; Pseudomonadota; Gammaproteobacteria
Description: bacterial SSU rRNA
Rfam family: Bacterial small subunit ribosomal RNA
Source: RNAcentral